UGGGUUCGCAAUACCUCCAGCCUAUAAGACAGAGUAUAAAAACAGCUUCGUCAGCCUCAUCACCAACGCUUAACUCCACAGGGUAUCAAAAUUCAAAACUUUCUAAAUGAAUAAACAGAAACAAAAUAAUCUUACAUUAACAAACAAAAACAGAAACAACAAACGAAACCAAAAUCAUCUAAAUCGUUCUAAAUUAGCAUACGAAACCAAAAUCAUCAUCUAUCAAUAAAAAAAUAACAAAAAAAAAACAGAGCCAAAAUCAUCUAAGCUUUUUAAAUCAAUAAACAAUACCCAAAUCA
This 299-nucleotide long non-coding RNA is filed under the name Brassica napus (rape). RNAcentral describes it as "long non-coding RNA (BNAP_LNC015576)". The record is from RNAcentral. Lineage: Eukaryota; Viridiplantae; Streptophyta; Magnoliopsida; Brassicales; Brassicaceae.